AAAAUUUUAAGUUAAUUAAACUAUUAAUCUUCAAAAUUAAAAUUAUUUUUUUAAAUAAGUUUUA
Molecule: transfer RNA, 64 nt
Filed under: Trichopria drosophilae
Lineage: Eukaryota; Metazoa; Arthropoda; Insecta; Hymenoptera; Diapriidae
Description: tRNA-Trp
Source: RNAcentral